AACGAACGCUGGCGGCAUGCCUAACACAUGCAAGUCGAACGAAGGCUUCGGCCUUAGUGGCGCACGGGUGCGUAACGCGUGGGAAUCUGCCCCUCGGUUCGGAAUAACAGUUAGAAAUGACUGCUAAUACCGGGUGAUGACUUCGGUCCAAAGAUUUAUCGCCGAGGGAUGAGCCCGCGUAAGAUUAGGUAGUUGGUGGGGUAAAGGCCUACCAAGCCGACGAUCUUUAGCUGGUCUGAGAGGAUGAUCAGCCACACUGGGACUGAGACACGGCCCAGACUCCUACGGGAGGCAGCAGUGGGGAAUAUUGGACAAUGGGCGAAAGCCUGAUCCAGCAAUGCCGCGUGAGUGAUGAAGGCCUUAGGGUUGCAAAGCUCUUUUACCAGGGAUGAUAAUGACAGUACCUGGAGAAUAAGCUCCGGCUAACUCCGUGCCAGCCGCCGCAGUAA
This 449-nucleotide ribosomal RNA is filed under the name uncultured bacterium. RNAcentral describes it as "partial 16S ribosomal RNA". It matches the Rfam family "Bacterial small subunit ribosomal RNA", at positions 29 to 523 of the family's 1533-position model. The record is from RNAcentral.